This 464-nucleotide ribosomal RNA is filed under the name uncultured bacterium. RNAcentral describes it as "partial 16S ribosomal RNA". It matches the Rfam family "Bacterial small subunit ribosomal RNA", at positions 28 to 507 of the family's 1533-position model. The record is from RNAcentral.
GACGAACGCUGGCGGCGUGCUUAACACAUGCAAGUCGAACGGAAAGGCCCUGCUUGCAGGGUCCUCGAGUGGCGAACGGGUGAGUAACACUUGGGUGAUCUGCCCUGCACUUCGGGAUAAGCCUGGGAAACUGGGUCUAAUACCGGAUAGGAGCCAUUUUUAGUGUGAUGGUUGGAAAGUUUUUUCGGUGUAGGAUGAGCUCGCGGCCUAUCAGCUUGUUGGUGGGGUAAUGGCCUACCAAGGCGGCGACGGGUAGCCGGCCUGAGAGGGUGGACGGCCACAUUGGGACUGAGAUACGGCCCAGACUCCUACGGGAGGCAGCAGUGGGGAAUAUUGCACAAUGGGCGCAAGCCUGAUGCAGCGACGCCGCGUGGGGGAUGACGGCCUUCGGGUUGUAAACUCCUUUCGCUAGGGACGAAGCUUUUGUGACGGUACCUAGAUAAGAAGCACCGGCUAACUACGUG